RNAcentral lists this ribosomal RNA (464 nucleotides) under uncultured bacterium. RNAcentral describes it as "bacterial SSU rRNA". It matches the Rfam family "Bacterial small subunit ribosomal RNA", at positions 28 to 489 of the family's 1533-position model. The record is from RNAcentral.
GAUGAACGCUAGCGGCAGGCUUAACACAUGCAAGUCGAGGGGUAGAAGGAGCUUGCUCCUUUGAGACCGGCGCACGGGUGCGUAACGCGUAUGCAAUCUACCUUUUGCAGAGGGAUAGCCCAGAGAAAUUUGGAUUAAUACCUCAUAGUAUGUGAGGAUGGCAUCAUUUUCACAUUAAAGUCACAACGGCAAAAGAUGAGCAUGCGUCCCAUUAGCUAGUUGGUAAGGUAACGGCUUACCAAGGCUACGAUGGGUAGGGGUCCUGAGAGGGAGAUCCCCCCACACUGGUACUGAGACACGGACCAGACUCCUACGGGAGGCAGCAGUGAGGAAUAUUGGGACAAUGGGCGCAAGCCUGAUCCAGCCAUGCCGCGUGCAGGAUGACGGUCCUAUGGAUUGUAAACUGCUUUUAUACAGGAAGAAACACUCCGACGUGUCGGAGCUUGACGGUACUGUAAGAAUAA